GAUGAACGCUGGCGGCGUGCCUAAUACAUGCAAGUCGAGCGAACGGACGAGAAGCUUGCUUCUCUGAUGUUAGCGGCGGACGGGUGAGUAACACGUGGAUAACCUACCUAUAAGACUGGGAUAACUUCGGGAAACCGGAGCUAAUACCGGAUAAUAUUUUGAACCGCAUGGUUCAAAAGUGAAAGACGGUCUUGCUGUCACUUAUAGAUGGAUCCGGGCUGUAUUAGAUAGUUGGUAAGGUAACGGGUUACCAAGGGAACGAUGCAUAGCCGACGUGAGAGAGUGGUCGGCCACACGGGAGCGGGGACGCGGUCCAGACUCCUGCGGGAGGCACCAGAAGGGUAUCUUGCGCAAUGGGCGAAAGCCUGACGGAGCAACGCCGCGUGAGUUAUGACGGCGUUCGGAUCGGAAAACUCUGUUAUUGGUGAAGAACAUAUGUGUAAGUAACUGAGCACUGCUUGACGGUACCUAAUCAGAAAGCAACGGCUAACUACGUG
This 497-nucleotide ribosomal RNA is filed under the name uncultured bacterium. RNAcentral describes it as "partial 16S ribosomal RNA". It matches the Rfam family "Bacterial small subunit ribosomal RNA", at positions 28 to 507 of the family's 1533-position model. The record is from RNAcentral.